CAGCCCUAAACGAUGCGCGUUAGGUGUAUCGGUGACCACGAGUCACCGAGGUGCCGAAGGGAAACCGUGAAACGUGCCGCCUGGGAAGUACGGUCGCAAGGCUGAAACUUAAAGGGAAUUGGCGGGGGAGCACCACAACGGGUGGAGCUUGCGGUUUAAUUGGAUUCAACGCCGGAAAUCUUACCGGGACCGACAGCAACAUGAAGGCCAGGCUGAAGACUUUGCCGGAUUAGCUGAGAGGAGGUGCAUGGCGUAGUCGUGU
Molecule: ribosomal RNA, 262 nt
Filed under: uncultured archaeon
Lineage: Archaea
Description: partial 16S ribosomal RNA
Rfam family: Archaeal small subunit ribosomal RNA
Source: RNAcentral